CCGUCGAUAGCUCAGUUGGUAGAGCGGUGGACUGUAGAUUCAAUUCACGAAACUCGUGAAAGUUGUUACACAUUCAGAAGUUAUCCAUAGGUCGCUGGUUCAACUCCGGCUCGACGGA
This 118-nucleotide transfer RNA is filed under the name Daphnia magna. It matches the Rfam family "tRNA". From Rfam's summary of the family: Transfer RNA (tRNA) molecules are approximately 80 nucleotides in length. Their secondary structure includes four short double-helical elements and three loops (D, anti-codon, and T loops). Lineage: Eukaryota; Metazoa; Arthropoda; Branchiopoda; Diplostraca; Daphniidae. The record is from Rfam by way of RNAcentral.